UGGGGAAUAUUGGACAAUGGGCGAAAGCCUGAUCCAGCCAUGCCGCGUGUGUGAAGAAGGUCUUCGGAUUGUAAAGCACUUUAAGUUGGGAGGAAGGGCAUUAACCUAAUACGUUAGUGUUUUGACGUUACCGACAGAAUAAGCACCAGCUAACUCUGUGCCAGCAGCCGCGGUAAUACAGAGGGUGCAAGCGUUAAUCGGAAUUACUGGGCGUAAAGCGCGCGUAGGUGGUUUGUUAAGUUGGAUGUGAAAUCCCCUGGCUCAACCUGGGAACUGCAUUCAAAACUGACUGACUAGAGUAUGGUAGAGGGUGGUGGAAUUUCCUGUGUAGCGGUGAAAUGCGUAGAUAUAGGAAGGAACACCAGUGGCGAAGGCGACCACCUGGACUAAUACUGACACUGAGGUGCGAAAGCGUGGGGAGCAAACA
This 427-nucleotide ribosomal RNA is filed under the name uncultured bacterium. Its description in RNAcentral is "partial 16S ribosomal RNA". It matches the Rfam family "Bacterial small subunit ribosomal RNA", at positions 355 to 774 of the family's 1533-position model. The record is from RNAcentral.